RNAcentral lists this non-coding RNA (24 nucleotides) under Mus musculus (house mouse). The record is from RNAcentral. Lineage: Eukaryota; Metazoa; Chordata; Mammalia; Rodentia; Muridae.
UAGUUGCCUGGCUUGGGGGACACU